ACAUUUUCUUUUUCUAUUUAUGCAUUGAUGGUUACUUAGGUUGUCUCCAUGUCUUAGCUGAUCCAGACCAUUCUUAACCUGGAUUUACACUGGAGUCUACGAGGUCAGACUCUUCAAAGCCCUGGUUUCCAGUGAACUCCUUGCCAUGAGGAGACUGAGUUGUCCCAUCCCCUCAAGAUGCUCAUUGAAACAGCUGGCAGGUUGGCAUAUGUGUAAAUAUUUUUUAAAAUAGGCUUUAUUUUCUAGACCAGUUUUUGGCUCACAACAAUAUUGAGCAGAAGAUUCAUUGAUUUCCCAUAUACCCUUGCCCCCACAUGGGCACAACCUCUCCCAUUGUGAACAUAUGUAUAAAUAUUUUAAAUAUAGUAUAUAGUGUUAAAAGCCUAUAGUUAUAUCUGGAUAUUUGAAAAUCCCUGGGAAUUGCAAAUACCAAAUUAUAGCAUGUUGUUUCAGUGUAUAUAAAUGAGAUUAAAAUAAAGAUGCUGAAGAAUAGUAAACACCCAAUAAAACACUCCAUCAGUUGGGGAGGGGCAGUGAUGAGAUCACGUAUGACUAGAUUAGGCUGAUUGAGUUAUCCGGAAGGGAAGUGCUGGAGGGGGACAAAACCCAGCAAAAGGGAUCUUCCCCUCAGUGGCCUCCUUCCCCAGUCAUCUUGGAAACCUCUCUGUCUCCUGUGUCAUUUGUCCAGCUUCAACACAUCUGAAAGACUACUGACAGACAGCAAGACAACAGGUUAGUUUCCAUUAUUUUACCAUCAGUUUACCCCUGAGAAAUAGAAGAGUGGGAAAAGUCCAUAGAGGGCCAUUUUAGGUGUUGAAGUGAGUUAGAUAAAAGGCAGGACUGGCUGCAGAGGCAGGACUGGCUGUGAAAGAUGAAAGGAAGGGCUGGCUGCAGAACAAGAAAUCUAAGCCCUUUUUGAAACUUGUCCUUGAAACUUAUCACCAGACCCCAAGACAGGAUAAAUGGUUAAUAAUCUGGGAGCUGCUGAGACCAGCUGUCACCAGCUAGAACCAACAUGGGGAAGGAUUUCACCUGGCAUGGAGUGACCCUAGGACUCAUUAUAUGCUCAUUAUAAUACAUUAGCACGGUAAAAGACACAUUCAGCGCCACCACUGUUAGAAAUUGAAAGACCAUAAAAGGUCACAAAAUGGCCCACAGAGACCUUUUGAGAACUCUCCACCUGCACUUCCCAGAAAACCCCUGACUAUUCCUCCUGCAAAUUUAAAUGUACAGCCCCUUAACUUAAAGGCAUACCAAUAAUAGGCUCAAAACACCAGCAGGAGUGCUGCUGCUCUGUCUAUGGAGUAGUCUGCUUUUCCUUUUUCCUCCACUUAAAUAAACGUAUCCUUGCUUUACUUACUUUUCGGCUAGUCCUUGAAUUCUUUUCUACACCCUGCAAAGAACCCAAUGGUCCAGGCCCCUCCUCUGGGCCUCCCUGGGCAGAGGCAUCGCCUAGCCCCCUGCAACAGAAGUAAGGAUACUUAAUUGUUUAACACUAUUUCUUAGCACAGAGCCUGAUUAAAAAAAUAUUUCAAAAAUGUUCUUUUUAGACGAAGGUAAAAAUUUCUAAGGAAUGGUCACCCAGCACCUGAUUUGAGUGGGGUGGUGGCUGAGCAGUCAUGGAGCCCUGAAGCCUUUCAUGAAGGGCUUUUAAAAACUGUGAAGUGCAAGAAAUGUGGGGCCUUUGGGCAGAGGGCCAGUAGCAGGAUGUGCCCCGUGCAGUUCUGGAGUGGGGCCCUUGCCCCCAGCCCUUGGGCUCCAAUAAAAAAGAUAACCUGAAGCUCAUGAAGGCCCAAGACCUCCAGACUCCAGGGUCCUGUCACAAGUUUGACAGAGACAAAGAACCAAAACAAAGGCAAGAAGAGCAGCAGAGAAAAAUUCUACCACAGGAAUUUCCUAUGAGGCCCCGAGAGAAGCAACAGAGGACCUGGCAGGAAUCCCCCGAAUCAGCAUCUCACCAGGCCAGUGUCUGUCCAAACGACCAAGAAGACACCUGUGUUCAGCCCUGUUCUCCUAGGUCAGCCACCAGUCAAGACACCUGAUGUGAGGUCAUCCUGCUCUAAACAGCCUCUUUAGAAAGCACUUGAAGUGAGGUAGCAAAAGAUAUUUUAAAGUCACCGUUGGAGCUGGCUGAGUGACUGUUAAGAGUUGCCUUAAGAGUGCAAGCUCUGAGCAAUAGGGCUGCUGGUUUGAUUCCCACAUGGGCCAGUGACACUGCGCCUGAGCUGAGCUGUCGCGAAGCUGCCAACAGGACAGGUUGGCUCAGCUAGUGUAACAACAAGAUUGUCUGUUUGAUGGUGGGCUAUGUCCAUCCGCAACUAAAUUGAA
Hipposideros armiger (great roundleaf bat) is the source of this 2328-nucleotide long non-coding RNA. RefSeq lists it as uncharacterized. The record is from RefSeq and is a predicted model, not a curated record. The transcript is spliced from 5 exons. NCBI's taxonomy places the organism in Eukaryota, Metazoa, Chordata, Mammalia, Chiroptera, Hipposideridae.